Molecule: ribosomal RNA, 250 nt
Filed under: uncultured bacterium
Lineage: Bacteria
Description: partial 16S ribosomal RNA
Rfam family: Bacterial small subunit ribosomal RNA
Source: RNAcentral
UACGGAGGGUGCGAGCGUUAAUCGGAUUUACUGGGCGUAAAGGGUACGUAGGCGGCUUUUUAAGUCGGGUGUGAAAGCCCCGGGCUCAACCUGGGAACUGCACUCGAAACUGGAUGGCUAGAGUUUUAGAGAGGAAGGGGGAAUUCCACGUGUAGCGGUGAAAUGCGUAGAUAUGUGGAGGAACACCAAUGGCGAAGGCACCCUUCUGGCUGAAAACUGACGCUGAGGUACGAAAGCGUGGGUAGCGAAC